GACGAACGCUGGCGGCGUGCUUAACACAUGCAAGUCGAGCGGUAAGGCCCUUUCGGGGGUACACGAGCGGCGAACGGGUGAGUAACACGUGGGUGACCUGCCCUCAGCUCUGGGAUAAGCCUGGGAAACCGGGUCUAAUACUGGAUAUGACUCCAUGACGCAUGUUGGUGGGGUGGAAAGCCUUGUGCGGCUGAGGAUGGGCCCGCGGCCUAUCAGCUUGUUGGUGGGGUGA
Molecule: ribosomal RNA, 232 nt
Filed under: uncultured bacterium
Lineage: Bacteria
Description: partial 16S ribosomal RNA
Rfam family: Bacterial small subunit ribosomal RNA
Source: RNAcentral